Molecule: long non-coding RNA, 1049 nt
Organism: Neofelis nebulosa (Clouded leopard)
Lineage: Eukaryota; Metazoa; Chordata; Mammalia; Carnivora; Felidae
Exons: 3
Source: RefSeq, a predicted model, not a curated record
AAGUACACCUUCUAAAUCACUGGACAAAAUUAAUUCAACCUUUCCCCAUUGGAUACACAACUGCUUUUCAUUUCAGAAGCGAAGGUACACCACUGACCAGCGUAACGCUCAAUAGUGGCUUGUUACCUAUUCUCAUCAAAUCUCUUUGUAAUAAAUAAUGUCUUGCCAUAUGUUGCUUUACCUUGUUGCCGGUGCUGUUUUACAAGCUUGAACCAUCUGGAGGAAGUUCCAGUGGACAGGUAAACUUCUAGUUGUUUUUUUCAAAUGACAUGUUCAUCAUUUUAAAAGUUUACAGUUGUCUGAAAUGACUGGCAUCAUGUCUCUUUUUUUCAGAGACUUGGUUUUUACCCGCCACAAGGACCAUCAUUUUUUCCUCAGAUCCUGUUUCCCCCACCUCCACAACUGCCCUUGAUUCCAAUACCUUUUCCUUUUCCUUAUUAUCCAAAUCAGGUCCUGACACUUAAUGAUCUUAUAACGGUAAAUAUAUCUGCCCUGUUAAUCUAUAAAGUUCAUAGACAUAUUACAUUCAACUCCCUUUAUAAGAUAGGCCAGCUCAUCAUAAAAAUUUGUCUUUAUUAGUCUAAUUCAUUUGGAAACAAAAUAAAUCACAGCUAUUAAAUUCAAAGUCAAAAAACAAUCUCAGUUCAUUUCUACAUUCUACAAACAGUGCUACAUUCAUUAUUCAAUUCAUACAAACUAUAAAUUGACAAAACAACCUUUUCCAUCACUGAUGAGGGUGAAAGUGAAGAGUCAAAAGACUUAGACUUACAGAAUAAAUUCCUUUUGGAGAAAUGAAAAAGACUUAUUUCUUCACUAAUGAAACAUUAGCAUAAACACAUUAUACAUUAAAGAUUAUCAAAGCUAAGUUCCAAUAGAUAAUGCUGCUUUUUUUUGGAUGAAAGGCAGACAAUUCAAUUUUUUAAUAAGGCCCUUUAUUGAUACAGUAAGUUAUUCAGAAUAUUAGUUCAUGAAAACAGAGGAGAAAUACUUGAGUGGAGUUACAAAAGAUAACACUGGAAAAUUCCAUUUCCUUAUCUAAAAACAUACUU